RNAcentral lists this ribosomal RNA (450 nucleotides) under uncultured bacterium. RNAcentral's name for it is "partial 16S ribosomal RNA". It matches the Rfam family "Bacterial small subunit ribosomal RNA", at positions 338 to 795 of the family's 1533-position model. The record is from RNAcentral.
CCUACGGGUGGCAGCAGUAAGGAAUAUUGGUCAAUGGACGCAAGUCUGAACCAGCCAUGCCGCGUGGAGGAUGAAGGUCCUCUGGAUUGUAAACUUCUUUUAUUUGGGAAGAAACUCCCGAUUUCCAUCGGGAUUGACGGUACCAGAUGAAUAAGCACCGGCUAACUCCGUGCCAGCAGCCGCGGUAAUACGGAGGGUGCAGGCGUUAUCCGGAUUCACUGGGUUGUAAGGGUGCAUAGGUGGCAGUGUUGAAAGUUCCGGGCUUAACCCGGGAACUGCCAUUGAUACUAUUUGUCUUGAAUAAUCUGGAGGUGAGCGGAAUAUGUCAUGUAGCGGUGAAAUGCUUAGAUAUGACAUAGAACACCCAUUGCGAAGGCAGCUCACUACGGAAAUAUUGACGCUGAGGCACGAAAGCGUGGGGAGCAAACAGGAUUAGAUACCCUGGUAGUC